CCCGCCUCUUGAGACGUGUGUGGGGAGGGCAUGCUUUCUCCCAGGUUCCGCCCGAGACCCAGGGGGCAGCCUGGACCGGGCCAAGAAGGGAAGGGCGUGGCAGGCAAGAGCCAGGGGGGCGGGAGCGCAGGCGGCCCGGGACUCACGUACUGGCUGUGGCGGCGCCGCGGGAGCCCGGCCGCCAGCGGACAAAAGCUCAGACGGCCCGACCGGAAAGACCUGCGCCAACCCCAGGGCACUUCCUAUGACUCUCUGGGAAGCUGGAGGACUGACUCGAUGGUAUCUUUGAGAUGCUCUGUUUUUAGCACCUGCAUAUCAAACCUCGCUGCUCGUUCUCUUCCUGGAGAUAAUAUAAGUUAUAACUUGGAGACCACAGAGCACCAAGCAGAUGGUUGUUGUGUUGCCACACAAACAGUAACCCCUGGCACAGUCCAAGACAGGACACCACGCAGGAUACUUGACCUCUCAGACAGAAGAUGGGUUUUUGGAGGCAGGGAAGUGGCAUAGGCAUCACAAGUAAGCACACUGGGGACCUGUGUUAGAACCAGCAGUAUGGCAAGGAGGGGACCUGCUGAAUGGUCUGUUCCUGCACCUCAACAGAGCCAUGGAGCUGCCAAGGCUGAUGCUGUCUCAGGACCUCCCUCCUCCACCUCAAGAAGUUCAAAUCCAGCCAUACAGACACCCUUCUUCCACAGGAGGACAAAGGCUACCAUCUGGGAAUUAAAGUAUUAAACUUCAGAUAUAAUAAAAGGAUCAGCUUUGGAAAAAAUAGGAAGUCUCUAUUAAUGUGAUUUAGUUUAUAAAAAUCAUAAACUCCAAAGAAACCAAGAGUGCAAAGCUGGAUCUGGAUUUCAGUUUGUGAACUAUGACUGAUAUUAUUAUUUUCCUUCCCAAUAGCCAUUUUCAUCUUUCUUCUUCUGGGCUAAGAGAACCCCCAAAUUAUAAGGGGUAGCCCCAUGCCCAGAUUAAUCACAAUUGGUAUAAGAUCUUCGUGCAUGACUCUUGUUCUCCUUUUUCAGAUUUAGAGCUUCCCCUGGUGGGACCAGUUUGGGCCAUUGAGUUGUGUGGGGAACUCUGCUGUGGGGUUUUGGAAACAUUUUGUUUUAAAACAAACAAGAAAAAACAGCCCAGAAGAGAGCUGGCUGGUACUUUUCUUCCUGCUUAAAAAUCCAUGUGAUGCUUAGAACUCCUCUAGUUUUAUAACCAUGACACAAAACACAGGAGGAUCCAAAGGCAUCCUUUGGAUGUGGUGUAAUGGUUAGGCUUAUAUAGCAAUCUGACUGUGACACAGGGUGCCUAGAUAUUUGGUCAAAUGUUAUUCUGAGUGGGAGAUAUUUUGAUGAGAUUAACAUUUAAAUUGGUGUACUGAAUUAAGCAUCUUGACUUCAGACUGCUGUCUCUCUCUCUCUACCCUAUUAGUUUGGUUUCUCUGGAGGAUUCUGACUUGUACAUGCAGGUAAGCCUGAAUUUCCACUGAUGCUUCUGUUUUGCUGUACCAACCUUGAUGUGCCAAUUUCCAUACUCUUGACACAGGACAAAAUGGAGUGAUUUUAUUGUUCAGGCUGUUAGCCAGUCUUUCUGAUACUUGCAGCCAAAAGUAUUCCUAACUGGCCUUGGGUGAUGGGCCUAAAACUCUUUUCAGGUUUUCAACUUGCUGUAUUAAACAGUCACCUUAGGGAGAUCCUCUCCAGAAACUGUUUUACUAGCUCUGAGUGGUAACUAAGAAUAAAUCUGUUAAGUGUUCUCAAGAACUUGUUAGCCUAUGGGAAUCACUGAGCUUUUAGAAAACAGGCAUGAUAGGAAGAAAAUACUCAUUGAAAGGAAAAGCAGAAUAAAAAGUUUAGUAUACUUUAAAUUAUAUAACUACUUAGACAAAAAAUAUUCUGAAUCAUUGGGCAAAAAUGCUAGAAAGAAAAUUAAGCAUUGAACAAUUGCUUCUAGGUGUUACAAUUUGAUAUUUUUGUUUGCUUUUCAUAGCUUUUAUUAACAAAGUCCUUAUUUCUUUGUGUUGUUGUAGGAUGAGAACCUGCAUGUACUUAAAGGGCCACCCUCUUGUUAUUCCUCCCUUCCCCAUUCCCAUGACCAUCUUACCACUAAUUCAGCUUCCUAGUGUUACAUAAUAAUUACAGAUUGUCACUGUUUUGGAUUAGAUUACUGCCUUGGGCUCCAACAGAUCAGUCUUGAAAAUCAAACUGGAAUCAUCCAAGCUAAAGUUCCAUAUCACAAGUUGAGACUAUUUUUAUCUGGCCUUCCAAAAAAAAAAACAAUGAGGAGCCAAAUUUCCCACCAAUUUCCCAAUUGGUGCAAUAAAGAAGUUUCCCCUGCCUUUUAUCUUUAGAUUUUUUAAUCCUUACAAGAAGUAACUUGAAGUAACCUAUGGUAACUAUUUAUUUAUUUAUGGCACUAGGGAUUGAAUAUAGGGCCCCCACACACACUAGGCAAGCACCCUAUCACUGAACUAUAUCUCUAGCCCAACCAGUUAUUUUUCUAUUUUCAGUUCUGGCUUUAUAAGGAAGGUAACUUUGAAUGAUCAAUAUGGUUUUUGCUCUUUUACUUUGAUUUUUUCAAACCUCUUCUGCUUAGCCCAUAGGGACACUAAUUCCUUUUUUUAUGGAAUGAAUUGUUCCUGGGUUCUAGAAUUGAAAAUAAAGCCAGUUAAGAUUUUAUUUUGUUGUGAUUUUGUCAUUUUAGAUCAAUGACCAUGGAAAGAGAUGUCUGAAAAUUUUAGUCAUGGACAAAUAAAGUUCCUAUUAUAUAGAAAAGCUAUGGAACAAAUCUAGGUGCCCUUCAAUAGAUAAAUGGAUUAAGAAAGUGUGGUACAAAUACACAAUGGAAUAUUACUCAGCCAUAAAGAAGAAUGAAAUUAUGGCAUUUGCCAGUGAAUGUAUGGAACUGGAGACUAUCAUGUUAAGUGAAAUAAGCCAAUUCCCCAAAAACCAAAAGGCUGAAUGCUGUCUUUAAUAGGUGGAUACUAACACAAAAUAAAUGUGGGGGGAGGGAAUAAUACAAGUUCAUUGGAUUAGACAAAAGUGAAUGAAGGAAAGAGGAGAUGGGAAUAGGAAAGAUGGUAGAAUAAAUUUGACAUAACUUUCCUAUGUUCAUAUAUGAAUACACAACUAGCAUAACUCCACAUCAUAUACAACCACAAGACUGGGAAGUUAUAUUGCAUGCAUGUAUAAUAUGUCAAAAAUACUCACGUAUAUCUAAAAAAGAACAAAUAAAAAAUAAAGUUUCCCUUGUAAAUUAGUAAUUAGCAUUGUGUUGAUGUAUCUACUGUGAAUAUGGAUAAUGUGAGUUCAAUAAGAAAGACUAACAGGAGUUCACUUCAUGCUCUGAACAUAACACUUGCUGUUCUGCUAUUGUGGCUUUUUAAAAAACGGACUUUUUUUUUCUUCUCCCUCUCCACCUCCCUAACGUUGGGGGGUUGGGGGAAGAUUGCCCUUGUUCCCAUCUUAGGCUGAGUUAUCUGUCCUGGAGCAAACACACACCAUAGGAAUGAAAUAAUUCUGACUUCAGGAAUGGUGCAGAAGACCUAAGAAACAGUUGUCUUCCAAGUCUUCACCACCCUUGACAAGGCACACCUGGAAUGUAGCCUUUGAAUCACCUCUUUAAAAGCCCUCUGUUCCCCCUGGUGAGCAGAAUCAUAGCCUCUGGGAUAGAAGCCCCUGUAUUUCUUCUUUGCUAGCAAACCAAUAAAACUUCUUUUGCCUUUUUUCUUAAAACAGUGUCCUCAUUAUUGGAUUGAUAUCUGGGGCAAGGACUGGGCUUUCCAGAACAACAUAAGAUUGAGUCUCUGCCCUCUGGACCCUGGCUUAUGGCAGAGUCCCUUGGCAGGGAUGACAAGGACCCAGAAAUAGUGAA
Molecule: long non-coding RNA, 3861 nt
Organism: Marmota monax (woodchuck)
Lineage: Eukaryota; Metazoa; Chordata; Mammalia; Rodentia; Sciuridae
Exons: 3
Source: RefSeq, a predicted model, not a curated record